This 301-nucleotide ribosomal RNA is filed under the name uncultured bacterium. Its description in RNAcentral is "partial 16S ribosomal RNA". It matches the Rfam family "Bacterial small subunit ribosomal RNA", at positions 509 to 807 of the family's 1533-position model. The record is from RNAcentral.
CAGUAGCCGCGGGAAAACGAAGGGGGCUAGCGUUGUUCGGAUUUACUGGGCGUAAAGGGCGCGUAGGCGGAUUUGUAAGUCAGGGGUGAAAUCCCGAGGCUCAACCUCGGAACUGCCUUUGAUACUGUGGAUCUUGAGUCCGGGAGAGGUGAGUGGAACUGCGAGUGUAGAGGUGAAAUUCGUAGAUAUUCGCAAGAACACCAGUGGCGAAGGCGGCUCACUGGCCCGGAACUGACGCUGAGGCGCGAAAGCGUGGGGAGCAAACAGGAUUAGAUACCCCCGUAGUCCCUGUCUCUUAUAC